This 368-nucleotide transfer-messenger RNA is filed under the name Veronia nyctiphanis. Its description in RNAcentral is "Standard tmRNA". It matches the Rfam family "transfer-messenger RNA". From Rfam's summary of the family: Bacterial tmRNA, also known as 10Sa RNA or SsrA, is named for its dual tRNA and mRNA-like properties. Its role is to liberate the mRNA from a stalled ribosome. To accomplish this part of the tmRNA is used as a reading frame that ends in a translation stop signal. The record is from Rfam by way of RNAcentral. Lineage: Bacteria; Pseudomonadati; Pseudomonadota; Gammaproteobacteria; Vibrionales; Vibrionaceae.
GGGGCUGAUUCAGGAUUCGACAGGAUCAAGAAGGCUUGUGGAGCAUGCCGAGGGGCGGUUGGCCUCGUUAAAAGCCGCAAAAAAAUAGUCGCAAACGACGAAAACUACGCACUAGCAGCUUAAUAACCUGCAUAGAGCCUACUCUCCCUAGCCUCCGCCUGUAGGACGGGGAAUCAAGAGUAGUCAAACCCAAUCAGGAUCGCGUGGAAGUUUUGGCUCGAGAGCGGAAGCGUUAAACUCAAUUCGGGUAUGUCUUUGUGUGGCGUGUCUUUCCGCAGCACACUGACGAGAAUAAAGAAAGACUAAGCAUGUAGCGCCAUUAGUUAGACUGAUUUUGGACGCGGGUUCAACUCCCGCCAGCUCCACCA